UCAAGUUAUUAAGGGUGCAGGGCGGAUGCCUUGGCACUAGGAGCCGAUGAAGGACGUGAUAAGCUGCGAUAAGCUUCGGGGAGUUGCACGUAAACUUUGAUCCGAAGAUUUCCGAAUGAGGAAACUCACUUAGAGUAAUGUCUAAGUAUCAUUAAGUGAAUACAUAGCUUAAUGGGGGGAACUCAGGGAACUGAAACAUCUAAGUACCUGAAGGAAGAGAAAGAAAUUCGAUUCCGUAAGUAGCGGCGAGCGAACGCGGAUUAGCCCAAACCAAUAAAGUUUUCUUUAUUGGGGUUGCGGACAUAUCAUAACGAAGAGGUAUCGUAAUUGAAGAGGUUUGGAAAGACCCACCACAGAAGGUAAUAGUCCUGUAUGUUAAACGAGAAGACUUUAGAUAUGAUCCAGAGUACCACGGGACACGUGAAACCCUGUGGGAAGCAGGAGGGACCACCCUCCAAGGCUAAAUACUACCUAGUGACCGAUAGCGUAUAGUACCGUGAGGGAAAGGUGAAAAGAACCCCGGGAGGGGAGUGAAAUAGAACCUGAAACCCUGCACUUACAAGCUGUGGAAGCACAUUUCUUGUGUGACCGCGUACUUUUUGUAGAACGGGCCAACGAGUUACGUUAAGUAGCAAGGUUAAGCACUUAAGGUGUGGAGCCGUAGCGAAAGCGAGUUUUAACUGAGCGUUCAGUUACUUGACGUAGACCCGAAACCGGGCGACCUACCCAUGAGCAGGAUGAAGCGAAAGUAAAAUUUCGUGGAGGUCCGAACCCACGAGCGUUGAAAAGCUCGGGGAUGACUUGUGGGUAGCGGUGAAAUUCCAAUCGAGCCCGGAGAUAGCUGGUUCUCCCCGAAAUAGCUUUAGGGCUAGCCUCAAGGUGAGAGAUACGGAGGUAGAGCACUGAAUGUCCUAGGGGGUAUUGCACCUACCGAAGACUAUCAAACUCCGAAUGCCGUCAUCUUAUACUUGGGAGUCAGACUGUGGGUGAUAAGAUUCAUAGUCGAAAGGGCAACAGCCCAGAUCGUCAGCUAAGGUCCCUAAAUGUAAGUUAAGUGGUAAAGGAUGUGGGAUUGCACAGACAACCAGGAUGUUGGCUUAGAAGCAGCCACUCAUUCAAAGAGUGCGUAAUAGCUCACUGGUCGAGUGAUCCUGCGCCGAAGAUUUCCGGGGCUAAAACUUACUACCGAAGCUACGGCAUCAGUAAUGAUGGGUAGGGGAGCUUCCCAUACGGGUUGAAGCAUGACCGUAAGGACAUGUGGACAGUAUGGGAGUGAGAAUGUUGGCAUGAGUAGCGAGAUGUGGGUGAGAAUCCCACAGGCCGUAAACCCAAGGUUUCCAGGGGAAGGUUCGUCCACCCUGGGUUAGUCGGGACCUAAGCUGAGGCCGAAAGGCGUAGGUGAUGGACAACAGGUUGAUAUUCCUGUACUACCGAUAACCGUUUGAGAGAAGGGAUGACACAGUAGGAUAAGCUAAGCACACUGUUGGUUAUGUGUGCCCAAGCAUUGAGGCAGUCAAAGUAGGCAAAUCCGCUUUGAUAAUGCUGGGAUGUGAUGGGGAGCGAAAUUUAGUAGCGAAGUAGCUGAUUUCACACUGUCAAGAAAAGUCUCUAUCGAGGUUAAAGGUACCCGUACCGCAAACCGACACAGGUGGGUGAGGAGAGUAUCCUAAGGCCAGCGAGAGAACUGUUGUUAAGGAACUCGGCAAAAUGACCCCGUAACUUAGGGAUAAGGGGUGCCACCAUCAGGUGGCCGCAGAGAAUAGGCCCAAGCGACUGUUUACCAAAAACAUAGGUUUCUGCUAAGUCGCAAGACGAUGUAUAGGAGCUGACGCCUGCCCGGUGCUGGAAGGUUAAGGGGAUCUGUUAGAGCAAUCGAAGCAGUGAACUUAAGCCCCAGUAAACGGCGGCCGUAACUAUAACGGUCCUAAGGUAGCGAAAUUCCUUGUCGGGUAAGUUCCGACCCGCACGAAAGGCGUAACGAUUUGGGCACUGUCUCAACAACAGACUCGGUGAAAUUGUAAUUCCGGUGAAGAUGCCGGAUACCUGCGACAGGACGGAAAGACCCCAUGGAGCUUUACUGUAGCUUGACAUUGGGUCUUGGUACUACAUGUACAGGAUAGGUGGGAGGCUUUGAAACCAGGACGCCAGUUUUGGCGGAGCCAUCCUUGGGAUACCACCCUUGUAGUACUGGGACUCUAACCAUAGGCCAUGAAUCUGGUCUUGGGACACUGUCAGGUGGGCAGUUUGACUGGGGCGGUCGCCUCCCAAAAGGUAACGGAGGCGCUCAAAGGUUCUCUCAGUACGGUCGGAAAUCGUACGUAGAGUGUAAAGGCAAAAGAGAGCUUGAUUGCAAGACAUACAGGUCGAGCAAGGAUGAAAAUCGGACUUAGUGAUCCGGUGGUUCUGCGUGGAAGGGCCAUCGCUCAACGGAUAAAAGCUACCCUGGGGAUAACAGGCUUAUCUCCCCCAAGAGUCCACAUCGACGGGGAGGUUUGGCACCUCGAUGUCGGCUCAUCACAUCCUGGGGCUGUAGUAGGUCCCAAGGGUUGGGCUGUUCGCCCAUUAAAGUGGUACGCGAGCUGGGUUCAGAACGUCGUGAGACAGUUCGGUCCCUAUCCGUCGCAGGCGUAGGAAAUUUGAGAAGACCUGUCCUUAGUACGAGAGGACCGGGAUGGACGUACCUCUGGUGUACCAGUUGUCCUGCCAAGGGCAUGGCUGGGUAGCUAUGUACGGAAUGGAUAAGCGCUGAAAGCAUCUAAGCGCGAAGCCAACUUCAAGAUAAGAUUUCCCACCGCAAGGGUAAGACCCCAGAAAGACUAUCUGGUUGAUAGGUCGAAGGUGUAAGUGCAGCAAUGUAUUUAGCUUAUCGAUACUAAUAGGUCGAGGACUUGACCAA
RNAcentral lists this ribosomal RNA (2896 nucleotides) under Clostridioides difficile. RNAcentral's name for it is "23S ribosomal RNA". It matches the Rfam family "Bacterial large subunit ribosomal RNA". The record is from RNAcentral. Lineage: Bacteria; Bacillati; Bacillota; Clostridia; Peptostreptococcales; Peptostreptococcaceae.